AGAGCUUGCUCUUUCCGGAAUUGAGUGGCAAACGGGUGAGUAACACGUAAACAACCUGCCUUCAGGAUGGGGACAACAGACGGAAACGACUGCUAAUACCGAAUAAGUUCCAAGAGCCGCAUGGCCCAUGGAAGAAAAGGUGGCCUCUACCUGUAAGCUAUCGCCUGAAGAGGGGUUUGCGUCUGAUUAGCUGGUUGGAGGGGUAACGGCCCACCAAGGCGACGAUCAGUAGCCGGUCUGAGAGGAUGAACGGCCACACUGGAACUGAGACACGGUCCAGACUCCUACGGGAGGCAGCAGUGGGGAAUCUUCCGCAAUGGGCGAAAGCCUGACGGAGCAACGCCGCGUGAGUGAUGACGGCCUUCGGGUUGUAAAACUCUGUGAUCCGGGACGAAAGGGCAGAGUGCGAAGAACAAACUGCAUUGACGGUACCGGAAAAGCAAGCCACGGCUAACUACGUGCCAGCAGCCGCGGUAAUACGUAGGUGGCAAGCGUUGUCCGGAAUUAUUGGGCGUAAAGCGCGCGCAGGCGGCUUCCCAAGUCCCUCUUAAAAGUGCGGGGCUUAACCCCGUGAUGGGAAGGAAACUGGGAAGCUGGAGUAUCGGAGAGGAAAGUGGAAUUCCUAGUGUAGCGGUGAAAUGCGUAGAGAUUAGGAAGAACACCGGUGGCGAAGGCGACUUUCUGG
Molecule: ribosomal RNA, 685 nt
Filed under: uncultured Peptococcaceae bacterium
Lineage: Bacteria; Bacillati; Bacillota; Clostridia; Eubacteriales; Peptococcaceae
Description: bacterial SSU rRNA
Rfam family: Bacterial small subunit ribosomal RNA
Source: RNAcentral